This 254-nucleotide ribosomal RNA is filed under the name uncultured bacterium. RNAcentral's name for it is "partial 16S ribosomal RNA". It matches the Rfam family "Bacterial small subunit ribosomal RNA", at positions 524 to 776 of the family's 1533-position model. The record is from RNAcentral.
UACGAAGGGUGCAAGCGUUACUCGGAAUUACUGGGCGUAAAGCGUGCGUAGGCGGUUUGUUAAGUCUGUUGUGAAAGCCCCGGGCUCAACCUGGGAAUGGCAAUGGAAACUGGCGAGCUAGAGUACGGUAGAGGAGAGUGGAAUUCCCGGUGUAGCAGUGAAAUGCGUAGAGAUCGGGAGGAACAUCAGUUGCGAAGGCGGCUCUCUGGACCAGUACUGACGCUGAGGCACGAAAGCGUGGGGGAGCAAACAGG